Molecule: ribosomal RNA, 500 nt
Filed under: uncultured eukaryote
Lineage: Eukaryota
Description: SSU rRNA
Rfam family: Eukaryotic small subunit ribosomal RNA
Source: RNAcentral
ACUGUUCAGAUUAGCCAUGCAUGUCUCAGUAUAAGCUUCUAUACGGCGAAACUGCGAAUGGCUCAUUAAAACAGUUAUAGUUUAUUUGGUGGUCAGCAAUUACAUGGAUAACCGUGGUAAUUCUAGAGCUAAUACAUGCGCCCAAACCCGACUUCGUGGAAGGGUUGUGUUUAUUAGAUACAGAACCAACCCAGGCUCCGCCUGGCCUUGAGGUGAUUCAUAAUAACCGAACGAAUCGCAUGGCUAUGCCGGCGAUAGACCAUUCAAGUUUCUGACCUAUCAGCUAUCGUCGGUAGGGUAUUGGCCUACCGUGGCAAUGACGGGUAACGGAGAAUUAGGGUUCGAUUCCGGAGAGGGAGCCUGAGAAACGGCUACCACAUCUAAGGAAGGCAGCAGGCGCGCAAAUUACCCAAUCCUGACGCAGGGAGGUAGUGACAAGAAAUAACAAUACAGGGCAUACAUGUCUUGUAAUUGGAAUGAGUAAACUUUAAAUCACUUUA